Molecule: ribosomal RNA, 435 nt
Filed under: uncultured bacterium
Lineage: Bacteria
Description: partial 16S ribosomal RNA
Rfam family: Bacterial small subunit ribosomal RNA
Source: RNAcentral
UGGGGAAUAUUGGACAAUGGGCGAAAGCCUGAUCCAGCCAUGCCGCGUGUGUGAAGAAGGUCUUCGGAUUGUAAAGCACUUUAAGUUGGGAGGAAGGGCAGUAAAUUAAUACUUUGCUGUUUUGACGUUACCGACAGAAUAAGCACCGGCUAACUCUGUGCCAGCAGCCGCGGUAAUACAGAGGGUGCAAGCGUUAAUCGGAAUUACUGGGCGUAAAGCGCGCGUAGGUGGUUCGUUAAGUUGGAUGUGAAAUCCCCGGGCUCAACCUGGGAACUGCAUUCAAAACUGACGAGCUAGAGUAUGGUAGAGGGUGGUGGAAUUUCCUGUGUAGCGGUGAAAUGCGUAGAUAUAGGAAGGAACACCAGUGGCGAAGGCGACCACCUGGACUGAUACUGACACUGAGGUGCGAAAGCGUGGGGAGCAAAAGCAGGAUUA